RNAcentral lists this transfer RNA (69 nucleotides) under Scopelogadus mizolepis. RNAcentral's name for it is "tRNA-Glu". It matches the Rfam family "tRNA". Rfam says of the family: Transfer RNA (tRNA) molecules are approximately 80 nucleotides in length. The record is from RNAcentral. Lineage: Eukaryota; Metazoa; Chordata; Actinopteri; Beryciformes; Melamphaidae.
GUUCCUAUAGUUUAAUAGUAACGGCGGUUUUUCAGGUCGUCAGUCCUGGUUAGAGCCCGGGUGGGAAUU